ACGCUCGACACCUACGGGAGGUAGCAGUGGGGAAUAUUGCACAAUGGGGGAAACCCUGAUGCAGCGACGCCGCGUGAGUGAAGAAGUAAUUCGUUAUGUAAAGCUCUAUCAGCAGGGAAGAAAGUGACGGUACCUGAGUAAGAAGCCCCGGCUAACUACGUGCAGCAGCCGCGGUAAUCUGAGCGGGCUGGCAAGGC
RNAcentral lists this ribosomal RNA (197 nucleotides) under uncultured bacterium. Its description in RNAcentral is "partial 16S ribosomal RNA". It matches the Rfam family "Bacterial small subunit ribosomal RNA", at positions 328 to 539 of the family's 1533-position model. The record is from RNAcentral.